Galeopterus variegatus (Sunda flying lemur) is the source of this 2288-nucleotide long non-coding RNA. RefSeq lists it as uncharacterized. The record is from RefSeq and is a predicted model, not a curated record. Lineage: Eukaryota; Metazoa; Chordata; Mammalia; Dermoptera; Cynocephalidae. The transcript has 2 exons.
AGGAUUAUGUAUACCACGUAGUGAGUGCGAUCUGUGAAUGGACAGUGGCCUUUGGUUUUAUUUUCUACUUCUUAACAUUCAUCCAAGAUUUCCAGAGUGUCACCAUAAAGAUAUCCACAGAAAUCAAUGGUGACAUUUGAAGAAAGAAGAAUUAUACCUCACUCAGUGAAUGUCACAGAUAAUUUCUAGACGUGGUACGGAGGACAGACAGGGUUUUGAUGCCACCCUGAUUGGAACGCAUCUGAGGCACAUUCAGGACUUGAAUUUCAUUAAGAAUUCCCAAUAGUUGUACUGUUUCCAAAGGUAUGUUUUCCUAGAGAAUGUACAGCAUUUAUGACAUUGUAGCGAUGUCUUUAUAAUUUUCUAAGUGGACACUUUUUUAUAUUAACAAAUUCAUAUACAGAAAAGAUAGGAUGUUACAGAAAUUGGAGAGCUCUUACUUUGUACAGAUUCUGUUAAUUUUUUCUUUGUGUGUGAAUGAUUUAUGGAAAUACACUAAGUGAGGAAUUUAAGUUUACUACAUUUAUUAAAAAGUAAAAUCAGGAGAUAUUCAUUGUAAAAUUUCAUUUUCAGAAAAUGAACUAUAUAAUUUUUUUAUCAUGAGCAUUUAUAAAAUUCAAUUUAUAAUAUAUAUCCAAAUCAUAAAGAUUUAGUUAAUACAUUAACACUAAGAUGCUCUGAUUUUAGCUGAACUAAGCAAAAUGCUUCUGAGAGGCCUUAAUACCACUAUGCACAUUAACUCUAAGUGAAUACAAAGACCUUGGCUUUGGAACUCUGCCUGUUCAUUUCUCCCUGCUUCUAGGGCCACAGCUUUUACCCCUGCUGCUAAUUAGCAGCCCGCAGUGGGCAGCAUUCCAGGUGGGAUGCAUUCAGCAAGGCAGGUUAGAUAUUAUGAAAUCAUUCUUUAUUGUUACUGGCAUAACUUGAUGUAUAUCAUAGUCUGACUCAGAAGCUGAAGCUCAUGUCUCAAAUGCAUUUUAUGCCAAUAAACAUGCUGAACUGAACAAAAGCCCAAGAGAGAGACAAGGAGAAAGGAGAGGGGGCAGCUGAAACUUCUGGGCUCAGGGUGCUGUUUAUUUCUCUCCUGUGGCCAAUAUUCCUCAACACCAUAGAAAAUAUGAGUCAAGCCCUUUGCGUUAAGCAGGACCUACAAACUCCACCUUUUCAACUGAAUCACGAAUGACAUGUGAAAAGCGACUCAUUCUGGUGGAAGAAGUAGCCCUUGAAAUAUUAAGGCUUGGGCUUGAAAGUUGAAGAAAGGAAACUCUCUCCUUCAGAGACUCCUCCAGACCACAAACUCGUGUCCGGCCAAUUGGGACCAGCCUUUGAGGACACAUACCAAGGGCAGAGCAGCCCAUUUGGACAGCCUGGGAGGGCAUCUGGGGAGGGGUGAGCACAUGGUGGCUCCCUACUGACUAUGUGUUGAGUGAGUGAAGGGACAAGACUCAGCCGCUGUCAGCCACCUCUGCAAUGACAAACUGCUUCUCCCCUAAGUGUUCAGCAGGGGGAAUCUGAUAACCAUUUCAGGGUCCCCUGCAACUAUGUCAGAACGCUGUGGGUCCCCAUUGUAACACUGGAACUGAAAGACAGUGACCGAAGCUAUGUCCGACAUCUGUUAUUUUGAAGAGUCUUUCCCCGGAUCCUAUGGUAGAAUGAAUCAUGGUUGUGUCUCGCUUUGAACAGACUUGUUAACAGCAUUUUCAAGAUGCAUUAUCAUUCUUCAUUUCCACCCCAUCUCUUUCAAUUAGAUUGGAAGCUCCUUGAGGGCAGAAUAUGUGCCUUAAUUUGUAUCUUUGUAACUCCAGCAUUUAACACGGUGCCUGUUGGUGCCUCCUGGUACACCUUAGGUGCUUAAUAAAUACUCAUUAAUGCAUGAAUAAAUGGAUGAAGGAAUGAUUAGGAAUGUUUGUAGUGCUGCAUAACGGGAUUUACUUUGUUUGCCAGUUAGUUUAAUGAUAAAUAGUCUGUAUCACCCAGUAAUGUUGACUGUUUUGCUUUGUGUACUGUGAACAUUUCAGUUGUUUGGGCUUCACCAUUCUAUGACAACUCUCUUCAACCUGGGCAGUUACCACAGAAAUUGUUACAUGAGCUAAACCAAAUGUUACACCUGUCUUGGCAAAGUGAGAAGGCCAAAAAUCACUCCAGACAAUCACCUUCUGCUGAUUCCAUGCAACGUCUAAAGCUGGUCUUAUUCAUAUUUUGGUAUUGUUUCUAAUUUACAUGAACUUGCAUUUCCUGGGACCUCAUAGCUGAAAGAGUAAAAUAAAAUGAAAUAUUUCUUUAUUUUA